GCAGCGACGCAGCGUGCGGGAUGACGGCCUUCGGGUUGUAAACCGCUUUCAGCAGGGAAGAAGCGCAAGUGACGGUACCUGCAGAAGAAGUACCGGCUAACUACGUGCCAGCAGCCGCGGUAAUACGUAGGGUACGAGCGUUGUCCGGAAUUAUUGGGCGUAAAGAGCUCGUAGGUGGUUGGUCACGUCUGCUGUGGAAACGCAACGCUUAACGUUGCGCGUGCAGUGGGUACGGGCUGACUAGAGUGCAGUAGGGGAGUCUGGAAUUCCUGGUGUAGCGGUGAAAUGCGCAGAUAUCAGGAGGAACACCGGUGGCGAAGGCGGGACUCUGGGCUGUAACUGACACUGAGGAGCGAAAGCAUGGGGAGCGAACAGGAUUAGAUACCCUGGUAGUCCAUGCCGUAAACGUUGGGCACUAGGUGUGGGGGGCAUUCCACGUUCUCCGCGCCGUAGCUAACGCAUUAAGUGCCCCGCCUGGGGAGUACG
RNAcentral lists this ribosomal RNA (486 nucleotides) under Brevibacterium sp. CMT130. RNAcentral's name for it is "bacterial SSU rRNA". It matches the Rfam family "Bacterial small subunit ribosomal RNA", at positions 388 to 884 of the family's 1533-position model. The record is from RNAcentral. Lineage: Bacteria; Bacillati; Actinomycetota; Actinomycetes; Micrococcales; Brevibacteriaceae.